This 756-nucleotide long non-coding RNA is filed under the name Mytilus galloprovincialis (Mediterranean mussel). The record is from RNAcentral. Lineage: Eukaryota; Metazoa; Mollusca; Bivalvia; Mytilida; Mytilidae.
AAUAGGAAUGGUGCUCUUAACAGGAGUGAGCAACUAUCAAAUAGACAAACAAAUGAAUUCAAAGACAAUCGACCUGUUUAUCUAAACCCCUGGAAUUUAAAAGCUGGAUUCCACAAUCAACAUUUGUCGAUGGUACGUUUUAAACCAACACCUUUAGUGAUAAAGCAAGAAAAUAUUCGAAAACUAACCUACCUACAGCUUUACAAGCUUGUGUGUCAGGUAACCGACAACUUGACUACUUUAAUGACAAGACAAAGGAUCACAACAUUAAAAACAGUCGAUACGAAAGGGCAAAAUAUGAUGAUCCUAUGGUAAAUCGAUUGAUAACAGUAAAGAAGACUCACAACUGAACCCCAGUAAGAAAAAGAAGUUCGCAUUCAGAGUUCGUCAAAUUUACGUCAUCAUAACACAUCCCAUGCAGAGACAUACGAUUAGACUGAGAUCAGUCAUAAACAGCAUGUACAUGUAUAUUAUCAACGAAUACUAACAAAGAAACAACAAAGACAAAUUAUAAAUGCCGACCAAAUUUGCCAGUUCGAAUAGCGGAAUUUAAAAUGUCAGGCGGCAAGGGGUUGAGUAUUGCUAACACAAACCGUUCACCCAAGAUAGAAACGUGUAGAACAAAAUACGAAAAUCAUGCUGACAUUUUCUUGCACAAUAUUGUUACAGGUGAAGACACAGGCCGUCUUUAAUUUGACCUUAUGUUUAUUGCUUUAAGGUACUACAUUCCAGGGAAUAGCUGAUACCCAUAUGCUG